AGAGUUUGAUCCUGGCUUAGGAUGAACGCUAGCGGCAGGCCUAAUACAUGCAAGUCGAACGGUAAAUGUCCCUCGGGGACAUGAGAGUGGCGGACGGGUGCGUAACGCGUAUGCAACCGAACCCCCCUCACCGGGAUAGCCGGUGGAAACGCCGGAUAAGACCGGAUGCGCCGGCGGGGAGGCAUCUCCCUGUCGGCAAGGCGGCGACGCGGAGGGGGACGGGCAUGCGUGCCAUUAGCUUGUUGCGGGGCGACGGCCCACCAAGGCUGCGAUGGCUAGGGGGAUCCUGAGAGGACGGUCCCCCACACUGGUACUGAGACACGGGACCAGACUCCUGCGGGAGGCAGCAGUAAGGGAUAUUGGUCAAUGGGGGGAACCCUGAACCAGCCAUGCCGCGUGAGGGAAUGAGGCCCUACGGGUCGUGAACCUCUUUUGCCUGGGGACAAUACGGGGCACGUGAUGCCCCGUUGAGGGUACCGGGCGAAUAAGCAUCGGCUAACUCCGUGCCAGCCGCGGC
This 517-nucleotide ribosomal RNA is filed under the name uncultured bacterium. Its description in RNAcentral is "bacterial SSU rRNA". It matches the Rfam family "Bacterial small subunit ribosomal RNA", at positions 8 to 518 of the family's 1533-position model. The record is from RNAcentral.